UAUAUAUAUAUAUAUAUAUAUAUAGAGUAGGGCUAGAAUAUUUUUACAAGUAUCACCCAAGUGAUACUUGUGUGUUUUUAGCCCUUGGAUGGAGAGAUGUGAGGUUGAGGUGAUGGUGGUAGGUGGUGGUAGGUGGAAUAGUGUUUGAUCCAAGGGCUAUUUGUAAUCAAAAAGUAGAUCCAAUGGCUAAAAACGUGAUAGCAACAUGGGGAUGAUACUUGUAAAAGUAUCCUAGAUCAACUCUAUAUAUAUAUAUAUGAGUUCCGCUACUAUACUUUUAUGAGCAUUGGUUUCCUUAUACUCAUAAACGUUCGGCCCUUAGAUUUAUUCUAUUGAUCAUUUUCAUCCGUUAGAUCAUACUAUUCAACCAACUACCAUUCAACCCUAGGGAACCACUAUUGUUCUAAAUGGGGAUCACCAUCAUCCUAACCACACAUCUCAUCAAUCAAUGGUUAAAAAUUUAUAAGUAUAAGAGAGUCUAUACUCAUAAGAGUAUAGUAGCCCCAGCCUAUAUAUAUAUAUAUAUAUAUAUAUAUAUAUAUGNUCUCUCUCUCUCUCUCUCUCUAUAUAUAUAUAUAUAUAUAUAUAUAUAUAUAUGCUGGUAUACUAUCGGUAGCACCGAGGCCUUCGUGCUACCAAGUUGUUUUCAAUGAUACCGCUUCCAAAUCGACGAUCGGCUCCGUUAGACUUGAUCUACACUAUUGAAAGUAUUUGGAAACUAAAUUUCAUAAUUUUUCGGCGUCAUUUACCUAUCAAACGAGUAGUCUAAAAAUGAACGGCUGAAAAUAAAAAUCUCAUAAAAAAUGAUGAUAGAAGACUUGAAUUUAAAAUCAGAGAUACUGGUCUUUUUCUAAAUAGUAAAAAUAAUUUUCUAUAAAAAUUUUGUCUGAUUUGGAUUGUUUUACACUGUUAAAUUUACAAAUACAUCACAUCUACCAUUAAAAUUGUCAAUUUUGAAAUAUUUUGAUCACUGGCCAAAUAAUGUCGAAAAAUUAUGAAAUUUAGUUUCCAAAUAUUUUUAAUAGUGUAGAUCAAGUCUAACGGAGCCGAUCGUCGAUUUGAAAGCGGUAUCAUUGAAAACAAACUUGGUAGCACGGAGGCCUCGGUGCUACUGAUAAUAUACCAGCCUAGCUCU
Molecule: long non-coding RNA, 1135 nt
Filed under: Ananas comosus (pineapple)
Lineage: Eukaryota; Viridiplantae; Streptophyta; Magnoliopsida; Poales; Bromeliaceae
Description: long non-coding RNA (ACOM_LNC044771)
Source: RNAcentral